RNAcentral lists this ribosomal RNA (497 nucleotides) under uncultured bacterium. RNAcentral's name for it is "partial 16S ribosomal RNA". It matches the Rfam family "Bacterial small subunit ribosomal RNA", at positions 28 to 507 of the family's 1533-position model. The record is from RNAcentral.
GAUGAACGCUGGCGGCGUGCCUAAUACAUGCAAGUCGAGCGAACGGACGAGAAGCUUGCUUUUCUGAUGUUAGCGGCGGACGGGUGAGUAACACGUGGAUAACCUACCUAUAAGACUGGGAUAACUUCGGGAAACCGGAGCUAAUACCGGAUAAUAUUUUGAACCGCAUGGUUCAAAAGUGAAAGACGGUCUUGCUGUCACUUAUAGAUGGACCCGCGCUGCAUUAGCUAGUUGGUAAGGUAACGGCUUACCAAGGCAACGAUGCAUAGCCGACCUGAGAGGGUGAUCGACCACACUGGAGCUGAGGCACGGUCCAGACUCCUACGGGAGGCAGCAGUAGGGAAUCAUCCGCAAUGGGCGAAAGCCUGACGGAGCAACGCCGCGUGAGUGAUGAAGGUCUUCGGAUCGUAAAACUCUGUUAUUAGGGAAGAACAUAUGUGUAAGUAACUGUGCACAUCUUGACGGUACCUAAUCAGAAAGCCACGGCUAACUACGUG